AGGGGAUUGCCCUAGUAACGGGCGAGUGAAGCGGCAACAGCUCAAAUUUGAAAUCUGGCCCUCGGGUCCGAGUUGUAAUUUGUAGAGGAUGCUUUUGGCGCGGUGCCUUCCGAGUUCCCUGGAACGGGACGCCUUAGAGGGUGAGAGCCCCGUACGGUUGGACACCAAGCCUCUGUAAAGCUCCUUCGACGAGUCGAGUAGUUUGGGAAUGCUGCUCUAAAUGGGAGGUAAAUUUCUUCUAAAGCUAAAUAUUGGCCAGAGACCGAUAGCGCACAAGUAGAGUGAUCGAAAGAUGAAAAGCACUUUGAAAAGAGGGUUAAACAGCACGUGAAAUUGUUGAAAGGGAAGCGUUUGCGACCAGACCUUUUCCUGGCGGAUCAUCCGGUGUUCUCACCGGUGCACUUCGCCAGGUCGAGGCCAGCAUCGGUUUCCGCAGGGGGAUAAAAGCGUGGGGAACGUAGCUCCUCCGGGAGUGUUAUAGCCCCUCGCAUAAUACCCUUGCGGGGACCGAGGACCGCGCCUUCUGGCAAGGAUGCUGGCGUAAUGGUCGUCAACGACCCGUCUUGAAACACGGACCAAGGAGUCGAACAUUUGUGCGAGUGUUUGGGUGUUAAACCCUCACGCGUAAUGAAAGUGAACGGAGGUGAGAGCCCUUGCGGGUGCAUCAUCGACCGAUCCUGAUGUCUUCGGAUGGAUUUGAGUAAGAGCAUAACUGUUCGGACCCGAAAGAUGGUGAACUAUGCGUGGAUAGGGUGAAGCCAGAGGAAACUCUGGUGGAGGCUCGCAGCGGUUCUGACGUGCAAAUCGAUCGUCAAAUCUGCGCAUGGGGGCGAAAGACUUAUCGAACCAUCUAGUAGCUGGUUACCGCCGAAGUUUCCCU
This 880-nucleotide ribosomal RNA is filed under the name Xylaria sp. RNAcentral's name for it is "partial large subunit ribosomal RNA". It matches the Rfam family "Eukaryotic large subunit ribosomal RNA", at positions 69 to 973 of the family's 3401-position model. The record is from RNAcentral. Lineage: Eukaryota; Fungi; Ascomycota; Sordariomycetes; Xylariales; Xylariaceae.